RNAcentral lists this ribosomal RNA (445 nucleotides) under uncultured bacterium. RNAcentral's name for it is "bacterial SSU rRNA". It matches the Rfam family "Bacterial small subunit ribosomal RNA", at positions 28 to 470 of the family's 1533-position model. The record is from RNAcentral.
GAUGAACGCUAGCGGCAGGCUUAACACAUGCAAGUCGAGGGGUAUAGUUCUUCGGAAUUAGAGACCGGCGCACGGGUGCGUAACGCGUAUGCAAUCUACCUUUCACAGGAGGGAUAGCCCCAGAGAAAUUUUGGAUUAAUACCUCAUAGUAUAGCAGUUUCGCAUGAAACCACUAUUAAAGUCACAACGGUGAAAGAUGAGCAUGCGUCCCAUUAGCUAGUUGGUAAGGUAACGGCUUACCAAGGCAACGAUGGGUAGGGGUCCUGAGAGGGAGAUCCCCCCACACUGGUACUGAGACACGGACCAGACUCCUACGGGAGGCAGUCAGUGAGGAAUAUUGGACAAUGGGCGCAAGCCUGAUCCAGCCAUGCCGCGUGCAGGAUGACGGUCCUAUGGAUUGUAAACUGCUUUUAUACAGGAAGAAACCACUACUUCGUGAAGUAGC